Molecule: ribosomal RNA, 410 nt
Filed under: uncultured eukaryote
Lineage: Eukaryota
Description: bacterial SSU rRNA
Rfam family: Eukaryotic small subunit ribosomal RNA
Source: RNAcentral
CAAUAGCGUAUAUUAAAGUUGUUGCAGUUAAACGCUCGUAGUUCGACUUCUGGAGAUAGUACUCUGGCACGCCUCGCGUAGGUGCGCCGUUGCUAUUUCAUCCUUCUGUUAACGUUUCGAAUCUUCAUUGGUUUGAUACGGGCUCAGAUACUUUACCUUGAGGAAAUUAGAGUGUUUCAGGCAGGCUUGCGCCGGAAUACAUUAGCAUGGAAUAAUAGAAUAGGACUCCGUCUCAUUGUUGGUUCAUGAAAGGAGUAAUGAUUAAUAGGGAUAGUUGGGGCGAUUAGUAUUUAAUUGUCAGAGGUGAAAUUACUUUAAUUUGUUAAAGACUAACUUAUGCGAAAGCAUUUGCCAAGAAUGUUUUCAUUAAUCAAGAACGAAAGUUAGGGGAUCGAAGACGAUCAGAUACC